UACAGAGGCCCCAAGCAUUAUCCGGAAUCACUGGGCGUAAAGGGUGUCAAGGCGGUCAUGUUAGUCGUUCGUUAAAUCCGGGGGCUCAACCUCCGGCCUGCGAGCGAAACGGCAUGACUUGAGGUCUGAAGAGGUGUGUGGAACUCACGGUGUAGGGGUGAAAUCCGUUGAUAUCGUGGGGAACACCAAAGGCGAAGGCAGCACACUGGUCAGAAUCUGACGCUCACACACGAAAGCCAGGGUAGCGAACGGG
RNAcentral lists this ribosomal RNA (253 nucleotides) under uncultured bacterium. RNAcentral describes it as "partial 16S ribosomal RNA". It matches the Rfam family "Bacterial small subunit ribosomal RNA", at positions 524 to 776 of the family's 1533-position model. The record is from RNAcentral.